This is a long non-coding RNA of Gavialis gangeticus (Gharial), 839 nucleotides long. RefSeq lists it as uncharacterized. The record is from RefSeq and is a predicted model, not a curated record. The transcript has 3 exons. NCBI's taxonomy places the organism in Eukaryota, Metazoa, Chordata, Crocodylia, Gavialidae.
CAAGGAAUGAACCAGCUCCUUUGGAAAAAGGAAAAAGUAUUCAGAGAAAUGCUUUGGGAAUGUGUCCUGAGAAAAUCGGAAGUUAAAUGAACAACAAUGCAAAAGUUUUCCAAAGAAGCAAACUGAGGCACACAGCAAUUAAAGCAAAAUUUUCAUGAAUGCAGAACGUCCUGGAAGACCCAACAGUCAAAUCCAGGAAUUUGGAUGCAUUUCCUUAUGUGGCAGCCGCUAUGCAGAAAUGUCCCAAAGAAUUUUGUAAACCCUGCAGAUGGGGUCAUUUUCCUAUGACUGAAAUGCAGCUGUCACUCUAUACAGACCUAGCACUAUGUAACAUGGGUGCAUGCUACCUGAAUACAAAAGGGACAUUUUAGGUAUUGUUGGCAGGGUGUAAUUACACAAUCUGGACCUGGGCCAUGUUAUAAUGCAGGGCUAACACCCUUAUUCCUGGAAAAAGUGUGGGAUCUUUAAUGGCCCUUGGUUUUAUGCUUCACCUGCAAGUAAAUGAGUGGCACCAGUGGGAGACGGAGCCAGUUACACUGACGCGAGCACUACUAAAUCUUCCUCAGAGCAGAAGCAUUUCAUACUGAUCAGUAUUAGCCGUUGACCUUGUUCAUCAGCCUAUGGAAUAAGAGCAACAUUCCUGGAAUUACCUUUCUUUCCUAACCCCUACCCGAAAGCAGGUCAGUAGCAUUAUUAGCCCAUUAUAAGUUGGACCAUCCAUGGAUGUACAGUAGUUAAGCAUAGUGACCCACCUAUAAAAAUCAGCCUUUGGUCCCAACAGCUUUAAGUUUCAUCUCUAAUAUAUGUUAACUAUACCUGCUCAGGAAAGAAAUGUAGGU